RNAcentral lists this non-coding RNA (150 nucleotides) under Homo sapiens (human). The record is from Rfam by way of RNAcentral. Lineage: Eukaryota; Metazoa; Chordata; Mammalia; Primates; Hominidae.
GCCGGGCAUGGUGGCGCACGCCUGUAAUCCCAGCUACUCGGGAGGCUGAGGAAGGAGAAUCACUUGAGCCCGGGAGGCAGAGGUUGCAGUGGGCCGGGAUCGCGCCACUGCACACUUCAGCCUGGGCGACAGAGUGAGACUUCGUCUCAA